RNAcentral lists this ribosomal RNA (184 nucleotides) under uncultured bacterium. Its description in RNAcentral is "partial 16S ribosomal RNA". It matches the Rfam family "Bacterial small subunit ribosomal RNA", at positions 1317 to 1500 of the family's 1533-position model. The record is from RNAcentral.
UGCAUGAAGCCGGAAUCGCUAGUAAUCGCAGAUCAGAAUGCUGCGGUGAAUACGUUCCCGGGUCUUGUACACACCGCCCGUCACACCAUGGGAGUCGAUAACGCCCGAAGUCAGUGACCCAACCGAGAGGAGGGAGCUGCCGAAGGCGGGAUGGAUAACUGGGGUGAAGUCGUAACAAGGUACC